Long non-coding RNA from Heterocephalus glaber (naked mole-rat), 1710 nucleotides. The record is from Ensembl. NCBI's taxonomy places the organism in Eukaryota, Metazoa, Chordata, Mammalia, Rodentia, Bathyergidae.
CAGGUGAAGUAAAAGAAAUUGUCAUUAUGAGAGCUUAUGUGGCAAAGUGACAUCACAAAAUCAUUAAAUUAAAUAAAAAUGAUGUCACCAUAAAGAGCUGUUUGGAGAUAAAGCUUCUAUGAAGGGUGCUAUUUCCCUAUUAAAGUGGAUUAGCAUUUAAAAACAUGUCAUAGACAAAUUUGGGGGUACUUCUGAAGUUAAGGAGUGCUGAAUUUGUGUUCCAAGAUUUGGGUUAUAAAAAUGUAUGCAAGUUCUGCACAUGCAACCCUUUCCAUUUUGAGGGCUGGGUUUGUGUGAACAUCUGCCAGCUCAACAGAAAGAAGAGCUCUGAUUUUACAGUGUUUAUAAAGCCAGGAGCGUUUUUCAACACAUUCCAAAGCCCCUUAAUGCUACUUCACCGGAUCAGCCUCCUGAAGAUGCAAAAACUGAGCUGUAGAGAGGAUAUGUUGCUUGCCUACAGCCACAAGACUUUCUUACAAGCAGCAGACCUGUCUCCUGCGUACUUGUUUAUUGGUUCCUUUACAUACUCUGCAUACUGUUGUUUGCACCAUUCCUCCCAAUAUUUCCAAUACAAGUAUCCUAUAGGUACAGGACGAUGGACAUUCAUCAGCCUGGAUGACUGCCAUACUACAUGGAGAUAACGCAUCGGAGGCCAGGAAAAAUCAGUAUUUGGAUGAAGUCACACAACUCUGCUGCACAGCCAGGCACAGAAUCCAUGGCUUUUGAUGCCCUAUUGAUUAUUCUUUUCACCACACCUGCUUUAUUCCUGAUAAGAAAUUUCAUCCCAGAGAAAUGUUCAUGGCCAUCAUAAAACUGGUGAAAGAGAAAACUGGCUAGUGGGGUAGAUAUUUUCUUGAAAAUUUUCUUGAAGUGGUAUAUCUGCCUACUCUAACCAACACACACACGCACGCACGCAUGUGUGCACACACUAACAUAAGUGAUUAUGAGAUCUUGAAGAUAAAGUAAUCUCUUAUUUGUGAUCCCAGAGGAGAAACCUCAUUUUAUGCACAUAAUUAAGAUAAACUUAAAUGUUCUAGGCACAUUUUAGGGUCUCUAAAGCAUCUAGGGUACAUGUUUUACAUUCUUAGCUUGUAUUUGUACUGCAUAUUUUUAUCAUGUCUAUUUAGUAUAGGGAUGAUGACUAUGAGGACAGCAGAUAUGAAUUUAGUUUCAGACCAUACUGCAUUAAAAUGUCUGCUUAAGUUUUAUUCCAUAUGCCACUUUGGGAAACUCAAUAUUGUAACAUUGAGCACUCAAUUAUUUGUCCUUGGUUCUCAACGAUUAUACAUAGGGUGGAAUAGGUGCUGUCCGUCGAUGUAUUUAUCCACAUGCUCCUAUGUCUCACAUUUAUGUGCAUAACAGCAUGAGUUUAAACAUAUAGCAUUUUCCUUCUUUUCCUAAGAGGUAUGUAUCCAGCAGUUUAGAAGUGCCCAGGAAUUCUACCCACCAACACUCUAAUUCCACAUUAAAAAUUGCCCCACAACCAGUGAUUAAUAAAUGGCCUUGUGCUAUAAAUGAUCAAUCCCCUCACCCUUCAGUUGGAACAGUUCUGGGGCACACAGUCACAUUGAUUUGUGGGAUUCCUCAACAGAUUUAUGUUCUACUUGCCAAUAGUGGCAACUUGUAUGAUGACAUGUGCUCUAUUGGUUUUGUUUCCCUUUCUGAGUCAUUUUUCCAGUCUCCUACCAGAGUUUCCUACACUAAGCUCCA